AGUUUGAUCAUGGCUCAGGAUGAACGCUGGCGGUAUGCUUAAUACAUGCAAGUCGUACGAGGGCUUUUAGCCCUAGUGGCGGACGGGUGAGUGACACGUGAGAAUCUGCCCUUAGGAGGAGGAUAACAGCUGGAAACGGUUGCUAAUACUCCAUAUGCCGAGAGGUGAAAGGAAUUUCUGCCUAAGGAGGAGCUCGCGUCUGAUUAGCUAGUUGGUAGGGUAAAGGCCUACCAAGGCGACGAUCAGUAGUUGGUUUGAGAGGAUGAUCAGCCACACUGGGACUGAGACACGGCCCAGACUCCUACGGGAGGCAGCAGUAGGGAAUUUUCCGCAAUGGGCGAAAGCCUGACGGAGCAAUACCGCGUGAGGGAUGACGGCCUGUGGGUUGUAAACCUCUUUUCUCAAGGAAGAAGUUCUGACGGUACUUGAGGAAUAAGCAUCGGCUAACUCUGUG
This 454-nucleotide ribosomal RNA is filed under the name uncultured bacterium. RNAcentral describes it as "bacterial SSU rRNA". It matches the Rfam family "Bacterial small subunit ribosomal RNA", at positions 10 to 507 of the family's 1533-position model. The record is from RNAcentral.